This 2765-nucleotide ribosomal RNA is filed under the name Salmonella enterica subsp. enterica serovar Newport. RNAcentral describes it as "partial 23S ribosomal RNA". It matches the Rfam family "Bacterial large subunit ribosomal RNA". Lineage: Bacteria; Pseudomonadati; Pseudomonadota; Gammaproteobacteria; Enterobacterales; Enterobacteriaceae. The record is from RNAcentral.
ACCGUUAUAACCGGCGAUUUCCGAAUGGGGAAACCCAGUGUGAUUCGUCACACUAUCAUUAACUGAAUCCAUAGGUUAAUGAGGCGAACCGGGGGAACUGAAACAUCUAAGUACCCCGAGGAAAAGAAAUCAACCGAGAUUCCCCCAGUAGCGGCGAGCGAACGGGGAGGAGCCCAGAGCCUGAAUCAGCAUGUGUGUUAGUGGAAGCGUCUGGAAAGGCGCGCGAUACAGGGUGACAGCCCCGUACACAAAAGCGCAUGUGCUGUGAGCUCGAUGAGUAGGGCGGGACACGUGGUAUCCUGUCUGAAUAUGGGGGGACCAUCCUCCAAGGCUAAAUACUCCUGACUGACCGAUAGUGAACCAGUACCGUGAGGGAAAGGCGAAAAGAACCCCGGCGAGGGGAGUGAAAAAGAACCUGAAACCGUGUACGUACAAGCAGUGGGAGCACAGGUUUACCUGUGUGACUGCGUACCUUUUGUAUAAUGGGUCAGCGACUUAUAUUCUGUAGCAAGGUUAACCGAAUAGGGGAGCCGGAGGGAAACCGAGUCUUAAUUGGGCGUUAAGUUGCAGGGUAUAGACCCGAAACCCGGUGAUCUAGCCAUGGGCAGGUUGAAGGUUGGGUAACACUAACUGGAGGACCGAACCGACUAAUGUUGAAAAAUUAGCGGAUGACCUGUGGCUGGGGGUGAAAGGCCAAUCAAACCGGGAGAUAGCUGGUUCUCCCCGAAAGCUAUUUAGGUAGCGCCUCGUGAAUUCAUCUCCGGGGGUAGAGCACUGUUUCGGCUAGGGGGCCAUCCCGGCUUACCAACCCGAUGCAAACUGCGAAUACCGGAGAAUGUUAUCACGGGAGACACACGGCGGGUGCUAACGUCCGUCGUGAAGAGGGAAACAACCCAGACCGCCAGCUAAGGUCCCAAAGUCAUGGUUAAGUGGGAAACGAUGUGGGAAGGCCCAGACAGCCAGGAUGUUGGCUUAGAAGCAGCCAUCAUUUAAAGAAAGCGUAAUAGCUCACUGGUCGAGUCGGCCUGCGCGGAAGAUGUAACGGGGCUAAACCAUGCACCGAAGCUGCGGCAGCGAACGUAUCACUUAAAGCGAUUCAGCGGGUUACGAUUGACGGAGCGAAGCGACGUCAAAGCGUAUACAAAGUCGAGUCGGUUUAAGGAUACGUUCGUUGGGUAGGGGAGCGUUCUGUAAGCCUGUGAAGGUGGCCUGUGAGGGUUGCUGGAGGUAUCAGAAGUGCGAAUGCUGACAUAAGUAACGAUAAAGCGGGUGAAAAGCCCGCUCGCCGGAAGACCAAGGGUUCCUGUCCAACGUUAAUCGGGGCAGGGUGAGUCGACCCCUAAGGCGAGGCCGAAAGGCGUAGUCGAUGGGAAACAGGUUAAUAUUCCUGUACUUGGUGUUACUGCGAAGGGGGGACGGAGAAGGCUAUGUUGGCCGGGCGACGGUUGUCCCGGUUUAAGCGUGUAGGCUGGUUUUCCAGGCAAAUCCGGAAAAUCAAGGCUGAGGCGUGAUGACGAGGCACUACGGUGCUGAAGCAACAAAUGCCCUGCUUCCAGGAAAAGCCUCUAAGCAUCAGGUAACAUCAAAUCGUACCCCAAACCGACACAGGUGGUCAGGUAGAGAAUACCAAGGCGCUUGAGAGAACUCGGGUGAAGGAACUAGGCAAAAUGGUGCCGUAACUUCGGGAGAAGGCACGCUGACACGUAGGUGAAGUGAUUUACUCACGGAGCUGAAGUCAGUCGAAGAUACCAGCUGGCUGCAACUGUUUAUUAAAAACACAGCACUGUGCAAACACGAAAGUGGACGUAUACGGUGUGACGCCUGCCCGGUGCCGGAAGGUUAAUUGAUGGGGUCAGCGCAAGCGAAGCUCCUGAUCGAAGCCCCGGUAAACGGCGGCCGUAACUAUAACGGUCCUAAGGUAGCGAAAUUCCUUGUCGGGUAAGUUCCGACCUGCACGAAUGGCGUAAUGAUGGCCAGGCUGUCUCCACCCGAGACUCAGUGAAAUUGAACUCGCUGUGAAGAUGCAGUGUACCCGCGGCAAGACGGAAAGACCCCGUGAACCUUUACUAUAGCUUGACACUGAACAUUGAGCCUUGAUGUGUAGGAUAGGUGGGAGGCUUUGAAGCGUGGACGCCAGUCUGCGUGGAGCCGACCUUGAAAUACCACCCUUUAAUGUUUGAUGUUCUAACGUGGACCCGUAAUCCGGGUUGCGGACAGUGUCUGGUGGGUAGUUUGACUGGGGCGGUCUCCUCCUAAAGAGUAACGGAGGAGCACGAAGGUUGGCUAAUCCUGGUCGGACAUCAGGAGGUUAGUGCAAUGGCAUAAGCCAGCUUGACUGCGAGCGUGACGGCGCGAGCAGGUGCGAAAGCAGGUCAUAGUGAUCCGGUGGUUCUGAAUGGAAGGGCCAUCGCUCAACGGAUAAAAGGUACUCCGGGGAUAACAGGCUGAUACCGCCCAAGAGUUCAUAUCGACGGCGGUGUUUGGCACCUCGAUGUCGGCUCAUCACAUCCUGGGGCUGAAGUAGGUCCCAAGGGUAUGGCUGUUCGCCAUUUAAAGUGGUACGCGAGCUGGGUUUAGAACGUCGUGAGACAGUUCGGUCCCUAUCUGCCGUGGGCGCUGGAGAACUGAGGGGGGCUGCUCCUAGUACGAGAGGACCGGAGUGGACGCAUCACUGGUGUUCGGGUUGUCAUGCCAAUGGCACUGCCCGGUAGCUAAAUGCGGAAGAGAUAAGUGCUGAAAGCAUCUAAGCACGAAACUUGCCCCGA